Long non-coding RNA from Suricata suricatta (meerkat), 644 nucleotides. RefSeq lists it as uncharacterized. The record is from RefSeq and is a predicted model, not a curated record. NCBI's taxonomy places the organism in Eukaryota, Metazoa, Chordata, Mammalia, Carnivora, Herpestidae. The transcript has 5 exons.
GUGGUGACAGACAAUGGCUGCUCGGCUCUUCAUGACUGUGCUAUUGGUGGAGUGGUUUCUGCGGGAGUCAGGCUAGCAAGCAACUGGCUAAGCAGUGGAGAAAGCUCGGUCACCGUGCACCAUGUCUUCCUCCAGGUCUUUCAAGAUUUUACAGUGACUCUGCACCAGCAAUGCUAAUAGUACUAAAGGUUCCUGAUUCAUGGAUAAAUGUUCCUUCCAGAUCUUCCCUGACCUUCCCAUCCCACUCCUCAGCAAUGAUCUGCUUCCUGUCACUGUACACAAAAAUUUGCUCUUCCAUUAACCAGUCAAUGGACAUUUGAGCUGUCUCCAGUUAUGGACUAUGAAAAAUAAAGCUUCUAUGAAUAUCUGAGUACAAGACUACAUGAAAAAAGUAAAUACCUUGUGAUGGAAUGACUAAAUUAUGUUAGGUAAAGCUUCUUGAAAAAGAAGUGGAUUAUCAGUAAGUAUUUAAUGGGGAAUAACUGGCACAGCAGACAUUAUGGUGGACUCCCAACAGCCAUUUAAUCUGAGACGACCAAUCUAAGACAAUCACUGAAAUCUCAUUCCCCUGGUAGUUUAAUAGAGGGUUUAUGACCAAGUUGUGGUCAAAGAGAUAUGAAAAUAAAAGUCUGCUGGGAACUUCU